Cercocebus atys (sooty mangabey) is the source of this 1957-nucleotide RNA transcript. It is a transcript of the gene named family with sequence similarity 58, member A, with no coding region annotated. Lineage: Eukaryota; Metazoa; Chordata; Mammalia; Primates; Cercopithecidae. The record is from RefSeq and is a predicted model, not a curated record. The transcript has 6 exons.
GCGGGACGCAGACGGGUGGGGCGGCCGUGCCAGCCGCGAGCACACCCCCGGCUUUGCCAGCGUCUGCGCGCCGGGGCCGCCUCUCCUUCCGCCGGAGCCGCAGGGCCUCAUGGAAGCCCCGGAGGGCGGCGGAGGGGGGCCCGCAGCGCGGGGCCCUGAGGGGCAGCCGGCGCCCGAAGCCAGGGUGCACUUCCGAGUGGCGAGGUUCAUCAUGGAGGCAGGUGUCAAGCUAGGGAUGCGGUCCAUUCCCAUUGCCACUGCUUGCACCAUUUACCAUAAGUUCUUCUGUGAGACCAACCUGGAUGCCUAUGACCCUUACCUGAUUGCCAUGUCUUCCAUUUACUUGGCUGGCAAAGUGGAAGAGCAGCACCUGCGGACUCGUGACAUCAUCAAUGUGUCCAACAGGUACUUUAACCCAAGCGGUGAGCCCCUGGAAUUGGACUCCCGCUUCUGGGAGCUCCGGGACAGCAUUGUGCAGUGUGAGCUUCUCAUGCUGAGAGUUCUGCGCUUCCAGGUCUCCUUCCAGCAUCCACACAAGUAUCUGCUCCACUACCUGGUUUCCCUCAAGAACUGGCUGAACCGCCACAGCUGGCAGCGGACCCCUGUUGCCGUUACUGCCUGGGCCCUGCUGCGGGACAGCUACCACGGGGGGCUGUGCCUCCGCUUCCAGGCCCAGCACAUCGCCGUGGCAGUGCUCUACCUGGCCCUGCAGGUCUACGGAGUUGAAGUGCCCGCCGAAGUUGAGGCUGAGAAGCCAUGGUGGCAGGUGUUCAGUGACGACCUUACCAAGCCAGUCAUUGAUAAUAUUGUGUCUGAUCUCAUUCAGAUUUAUACCAUGGACACAGAGAUCCCCUAAGGCCCUGGCCCAGGCCUGCCCAAAGAGAAGCCCAGGAUGGUUGGCUGCCUGGGGACAUUGCCACCACGUCGCCAUGACGGCUGGUCCCCAGAGGACCGGCUGGGAGGACUGGUUUGCUGCUGGAGAAGGACUGGAGAAGGCGAUGGCAUGCUGCUGCUUUGACAGUCCCUAGCAGUUGCGGUCCAGACGAUGAUGGGAGCCGCACCUCCGGUGGGCAGGCCGGGAGUGCACUGUGUGAGCUGACCCAAGGCAGCCACAUCUGCUUUUGUCCUUUGAGAGGACUCUGACUACAACAGAGGCAUGACAUCAAUGAAAGGAAAACCAUGAAAUCGAUGAGACUGAAUCCCUAGGGAUUUUGUAAAGCCAGAUUCAUGGCGAGAAUGAAUGUGCAACGUGGCUGAAAUCUAUUUUGUGUAAUAAAAGAAAGAAAGGACUUGGAGGUGACAGAAUUGCAAGCCGGAAACAGCCUCCGUGCCUAUAUUUCUUCUGCAGCCUAACACAGCCUCCCACAUGCAUUGAACUGUGCUGUGGGUGAGAAAAAAAAGCCAUAAGAAAAAAGGAGGAGAGACAGACACGGGAGAAAAGCCACACUACAACAGAGGCAGAGGUUGGAGUGAAGCAUCUACAAGCCAAGGAAUUCUGAGGACGGCUGGCAAUGCCCAAAGCUAAGAGGAGGUCCUGGAACAGAUUCUGCCCUGGAGCCUUCAGAGGGAGCAUGGCCUGCCCAUGCCUUGAUUUUGGACUUUUGGCCUUCAGAACUGUGAGAGAAGUUUCUGUUGUUGUGAGCAGCCACGGGCCACUCACACACGGGCCUCCCCGAGACCCCUGCACAAGCCUUUACUCCCAGGACUCAGCUGUUUCACUGAGUACCAAUUUUCCCCCGUGGCACCUGUGUCAUAUCUGAAGCAGAAGCUUGUGGACAGGGGAUUCACAGACACAAAUUUGCGAUUCUUUUAGGGUAGCAUGAUAUCUCUCCAUGAAGGGCCAUCUGUCUUGGUGUGGACUUUGGCUCAAUCUGGACUUACUCAUCCCUAUGGUUCAGGAUGCACUUGGACACCAAUGCAGCAAGGGCAUGGUGCGAUUCUUCUGCCUGCUGUUUUC